This is a long non-coding RNA of Amphiprion ocellaris (clown anemonefish), 1390 nucleotides long. Lineage: Eukaryota; Metazoa; Chordata; Actinopteri; Pomacentridae. The record is from Ensembl.
AAUACUUUGAAAUGGCUGCUGCAGCCAAUGAUGCGAUUCACAUACGUUUUUUAUAUGACUGUAUAUAAUGGUAUUUACGCAGCUGAUCAACGUCACGCGUCCUUAUGUGUAGCCAUCGUUGUUCUCAUAGAUAUGAAUGAGUAGAUAGGACACGCCCCUUUGAGCUGCGUGCUACAGCGAGGCUAAGCUAGUGGGGGAAAAGUUUCAGUGCAUUCUGUUGAUGUAGACGGCGUGAAAACGGAAACAACAAGUAUGCCGGCUCACUGUGCUGCAUACAGUUAUACACUACGUCGUACGACUGAGACAAGGAAACUUGGAAUGACUUUUCAUAGGUUUCCCAGAGACUAUGGGUUGAGGAGGAAGUGGAAGUUUGUCGGCUUAGACCUGGUGUCAUUCCAUCAGUGUUAAACUUCCCGGCUCAUCUUGGAAGAGUAAGUGCCAGAAAGACCACGACCAAGCAGCCUUGAGAUCUUAGGCAGUGUCUCCCUGAGACCAAAGAACUACAGACUCUUCACAACCUGCUCAAACUCUUGGUACAGGACCUCACCACACGGGUCAAGAAGGUUUCUGUCUCAUUUCUACUCUGAAGAUCACCUUCUCCUGCUCAAACUACUGACAAAUGUUUCUGCUGCUCUAAAGUCUGGAAUCCAGAACUUCCUAAAAACUCUCAAAGUCUCUUCUGCUGCAGGUUGCUUUGUAGAACUAUUCCAGAAAACCUCACUAAACCACAUGGAGGGGCCUCAAGAUAGUCGUCCAAAUGAAACCAUACAAAAACCAAACUAGCACAACCCAAACGCUAAAGUCUCCUGCAGCCUACCAGAGAACCUCUGAGAACAGAGAAUCAGGACAGGAACUCUUACCUUCUGGACAACCAACGCUGGUUCUCAAACAAGAAUACAGAAUGUGUCUGACCAGAAACCUCUAAAGACUCACUACAGCCAAGAUAAAGACACAACUCAGCUGUACCAAAUCCACUAAUCACUGCACACAUUAGCACCAUGUGCUAACUGUGGCUAAAGAACCACAUUUACCAAGACAACUAUCCAGUACAAAGCCCUAAAACACACCAAGAAACACAUUAAAGACGAUUUUACUGCUGGAAGCUGCAAGUCAAAGCCUAAAGAACAAACUAAAGCAAUGGAGCCAAACCAGGUUCUGUGGUGAAGAGAAGCAGAGGAAAUGUUUGUCUGCAGCUAAAUAAAGCAGGAAGACACUGAGCUGCUCAGGUGUUCCUGAUAACACCAAGCAGCCACCUGGACAGCCAAUAGGAACACAGCUUACUGGAAGUCCAGAGGGCUGGGUUAGUGAAGGAAAUUUAAUUCAAAGUUGAAGCAGAAAGUUAAUAAAGAAAGUUGAAAACCAUCUUCUGAUCCCUGAAAUCUCUGAGUUU